GUCAAUUUGAUAGUGGGAACAAAUAAUUGGAUGUCCUUUUUUAGGAGGGCUUAGUUUUUUGUACCCAGUUUAAGAAUACCUUUAUCAUGUGAUUCUAAAGUAUCCGGAGAAUAUCUGUAUGCUUUUGUAUGUCUAUGAGUUAUGCAUAAAAAAAUCCCAGUGAUAAGAG
Molecule: non-coding RNA, 169 nt
Filed under: uncultured Lachnoanaerobaculum sp.
Lineage: Bacteria; Bacillati; Bacillota; Clostridia; Lachnospirales; Lachnospiraceae
Description: Enterococcus sRNA 30
Rfam family: Enterococcus sRNA 30
About the family: Produced as 2 transcripts on Northern blot. Expressed in mid, late exponential and early stationary phases of growth. Expression fluctuated under daptomycin exposure.
Source: RNAcentral